RNAcentral lists this long non-coding RNA (807 nucleotides) under Phascolarctos cinereus (koala). Its description in RNAcentral is "lncRNA (ENSPCIG00000035678.1)". The record is from RNAcentral. Lineage: Eukaryota; Metazoa; Chordata; Mammalia; Diprotodontia; Phascolarctidae.
CCAAAUUUUAUUCAUUUCUUCUUUUGUUUUCAGAACUUUUCUGUAUGUGCAGUUGUUUUUUUUUCUAUUUGUUUCUUUUCCAAGUUUUUUUCUUUUGAUCUUUCCGAUUUCUUUUUUAUUCAUGAAUAUAUUUGGAGAGAUGAAUUUUAGAUAAGCAUUGCUUUCCUUGAAUCCUGAAAAUUUGGGUAUGGUGGCUCAUUUUAUCAGUUUAUUCUAUGAGAUGAUCUCUACUUUUUCUGAUUUGUCCUAUGUGCGUUUUGUUUUCCACCUUUUGCUCAGGUGCUCUCCAGAUAUUGACUGCCUGACUGACUGAUUUGAUCUGCUGGGACCCCAUCCCCUGCGCAGCGUUAUGGCCUGCGUUCCAUAGGCUGAAUCAAGCCCCGCCUCCAUCGGUGACGUCACGGGGCUCCUCCUUUCUGCGGUUUUCACCUGCCUGGGGCCCCCAGCAUUCUGUGAAAAGAGGCCGCCAACGGAAGCAGCCAGAGCUCCGUCCGCCUCCCAUCCUCCCCGCCCCCACCCCAACCCCACCCCCUCUCCCCCCUCCCCGGGCCUGCCUGAUCCUCGGUGAGAGUCCCCUGUCUGUGGGAGAAUUUCCAUCUAGGUAUUUUUAUUGGCAUCUUUAUCAGGACGUACACAUCUCGAUAAUGUUGGCAUAACAUUGGCAGAACGAUCUAUUUAAGUCUGGUUCUAUUAUGUGCACUGGGUCUUGGCAGGAGGUAAGGAAUUAUACAAUACUGUUCCCUAAAACUAUGCUGUGUUACAUUUUAACCUCUCUAGGACAGUGUUGUAUUAGAAUUUAACUCUCAC